This 806-nucleotide ribosomal RNA is filed under the name uncultured bacterium. RNAcentral's name for it is "bacterial SSU rRNA". It matches the Rfam family "Bacterial small subunit ribosomal RNA", at positions 8 to 802 of the family's 1533-position model. The record is from RNAcentral.
AGAGUUUGAUCCUGGCUCAGAACGAACGCUGGCGGCGCGUUUUAAGCAUGCAAGUCGAGCGGCAGGGGGGCUUCGGUCCCCCGAGAGCGGCGGACGGGUGAGUAACACGUGGACAACCUGCCCCCCGGUUCGGGAUAGCCCAGGGAAACCUGGAUCAAUACCGGAUGCGAGGGCGGCCGCACAAGCGGCCGUCGGGAAAGGCGCUUCGGCGCCGCCGGGGGAUGGGUCCGCGUCCCAUUAGCUAGACGGUGGGGUAACGGCCCACCGUGGCGAUGAUGGGUAGCCGGCCUGAGAGGGUGGACGGCCACAUUGGAACUGAGACACGGUCCAGACUCCUACGGGAGGCAGCAGCUAAGAAUCUUCCGCAAUGGGCGAAAGCCUGACGGAGCGACGCCGCGUGAACGAAGAAGGCCGUGAGGUUGUAAAGUUCUUUUCGGGAGGGGGAACGAGGCUGCCAGGCAAUGGGCGGCCGAUGACGUGAAUCCCGGAAUAAGCCCCGGCUAACUACGUGCCAGCAGCCGCGGUAACACGUAGGGGGCGAGCGUUGUUCGGAAUCAUUGGGCGUAAAGGGCGUGCAGGCGGCCGCCAAAGUCCGGCGUGAAAGACCCAGGCUCAACCUGGGGGGUGCGCCGGAUACUGGGCGGCUUGAGUACAGGAGGGGACGGCGGAAUUCCAGGUGUAGGGGUGAAAUCUGUAGAUAUCUGGAGGAACACCGAUGGCGAAGGCAGCCGUCUGGCCAUGUACUGACGCUGAGGCGCGAAGGUGCGGGGAGCAAACAGGUUUAGAUACCCUGGUAGUCCACACUG